This 75-nucleotide antisense RNA is filed under the name Streptomyces yokosukanensis. RNAcentral describes it as "ASpks TB sRNA". It matches the Rfam family "ASpks TB sRNA". Lineage: Bacteria; Bacillati; Actinomycetota; Actinomycetes; Kitasatosporales; Streptomycetaceae. The record is from Rfam by way of RNAcentral.
CUUGAGCGACCCCAGCCACAGCGGGUUGUCCGGGUCGCGGUCCUGGCCGUAGGUGGCCAGCAGGGCCUGCGCCUC